This 497-nucleotide ribosomal RNA is filed under the name uncultured bacterium. RNAcentral describes it as "partial 16S ribosomal RNA". It matches the Rfam family "Bacterial small subunit ribosomal RNA", at positions 28 to 507 of the family's 1533-position model. The record is from RNAcentral.
GAUGAACGCUGGCGGCGUGCCUAAUACAUGCAAGUCGAGCGAACAGAUGAGGAGCUUGCUCCUCUGACGUUAGCGGCGGACGGGUGAGUAAUACGUGGAUAACCUACCUAUAAGACUGGGAUAACUUCGGGAAACCGGAGCUAAUACCGGAUAAUAUAUUGAACCGCAUGGUUCAAUAGUGAAAGACGGUUUUGCUGUCACUUAUAGAUGGAUCCGCGCCGCAUUAGCUAGUUGGUAAGGUAACGGCUUACCAAGGCGACGAUGCGUAGCCGACCUGAGAGGGUGAUCGGCCACACUGGAACUGAGACCCGGUCCCGACUCCCACGGGAGGCAGCAGUAGGGAAUCUUCCGCAAUGGGCGAAAGCCUGACGGAGCAACGCCGCGUGAGUGAUGAAGGUCUUCGGAUCGUAAAACUCUGUUAUUAGGGAAGAACAAAUGUGUAAGUAACUAUGCACGUCUUGACGGUACCUAAUCAGAAAGCCACGGCUAACUACGUG